This 344-nucleotide unclassified non-coding RNA is filed under the name uncultured fungus. RNAcentral's name for it is "partial contains 5.8S ribosomal RNA and internal transcribed spacer 2". The stretch from base 1 to 133 matches the Rfam family "5.8S ribosomal RNA", at positions 22 to 154 of the family's 154-position model. The record is from RNAcentral. Lineage: Eukaryota; Fungi.
UGGUUCCGGCAUCGAUGAAGAACGCAGCGAAAUGCGAUAAGUAAUGUGAAUUGCAGAAUCCAGUGAACCAUCGAAUCUUUGAACGCACAUUGCGCCCCCCGGCAUUCCGGAGGGCAUGCCCGUCCGAGCGUCAUUGCACCCCGUCGAGCCGUUUCGGUUCGGGUUUGGGCCGCGUCCUCCGGGUGACCCCCUGGGACGGGCCCCAAAAGCAGUGGCGGCCCGCGGGCGACCUCCAGCGCGAUGGUUUUACGCUCCACGCUGGGCACGAGUCGUCCCGGGUCGGCGCCAGGCAACCCCGGUGAUGACCACAGGUUGACCUCGGAUCGGGCAGGGAUACCCGCUGA